GACGAACGCUGGCGGCGUGCUUAACACAUGCAAGUCGAACGGAAAGGCCCUGCUUGCCGGGUACUCGAGUGGCGAACGGGUGAGUAACACGUGGGUGAUCUGCCCUGCACUUCGGGAUAAGCCUGGGAAACUGGGUCUAAUACCGGAUAGGAGCCAUUUUUAGUGUGAUGGUUGGAAAGUUUUUUCGGUGUAGGAUGAGCUCGCGGCCUAUCAGCUUGUUGGUGGGGUAAUGGCCUACCAAGGCGGGGACGGGUAGCCGGCCUGAGAGGGUGGACGGCCACAUUGGGACUGAGAUACGGCCCAGACGCCUACGGGAGGCAGCAGUGGGGAAUAUUGCACAAGGGGCGCAAGCCUGAUGCAGCGACGCCGCGUGGGGGAGGACGGCCUUCGGGUUGUAAACGCCUUUCGCUAGGGACGAAGCUUUUUGUGACGGUACCUAGAUAAGAAGCACCGGCUAACUACGUG
This 465-nucleotide ribosomal RNA is filed under the name uncultured bacterium. RNAcentral's name for it is "partial 16S ribosomal RNA". It matches the Rfam family "Bacterial small subunit ribosomal RNA", at positions 28 to 507 of the family's 1533-position model. The record is from RNAcentral.